This 1061-nucleotide long non-coding RNA is filed under the name Dromaius novaehollandiae (emu). RNAcentral's name for it is "lncRNA (ENSDNVG00000007182.1)". Lineage: Eukaryota; Metazoa; Chordata; Aves; Casuariiformes; Dromaiidae. The record is from RNAcentral.
CUGGAAAGACAGGGAAGAAGGAAGAAAAAGCAGAAGGAAGUGAAGGAAGAUAGAAAUACAUCAGUAAAGAACAGAGAUGUAAUGAUAAGGAGGAGGAAAUAAUACAGGUUGCAGGAGAGAAAAUGGGAAGCAGGCUGAGAGGCAAAAAGAGAAGGAAAAUUGUGCAAAGUAGUAAGGAACAGCAAAGAGGAAAGAACCAAAGAGUAGAUCUAUUUUUCCCAGUCUGUUCCAGCAGCCGUUGUAAGGGCAGUCUCUAGAGCAUAUUCUAGGAAGAAUUAAGAUUUCGGCAUCAUACAGCAGGAAGCAAAGAAGAUCUCUUCUCCAAAGYUGCAAGAACUGGCUCAAGUCUGGUCCUGGAUCCCUCUCAUCCGUUGACAAUCACUUCCGAAAGGCAAGCUGGUUACCUGACUUUUGGAAAAGUCCUUUCAGUCAUAUUACAACAUUAUAAAUCACCUGCUGAGCGACUGGGAUUCAAGGUGGUUGAUUCCUCACAGUUUCUGCAAGAUCAAAGCCAGUGCAGGAUGUACCCAGGCACCUCGAGAAGAAGGAGCACCAUUAAAGGAUGGCUUUGAAAACCCACCUGAGUGCUUUGCUGAGCAGAAUGCAAACAUGCUAAAUCUGUGCUGAAUGGACGAUGAAGGAGCUACAUGGAGACAUGCACACGCAUGUGCAGUGUGUGUGCAUCCAGGAUCUGUGACAAGUGGCGGACAGUGCAAGACUACAUCCGUCUGUGAGACCUGAAGGAAGCUCACAGCCAGAGCAGAACUAUAGGGAAAAAUUGAGAGGAUGGAGCAAACCAAAGGAAAGGACUAGAAGGAAAGUAAUUCUUCUGUAAUGCCCAGGUUAUUACAAAUUAAAUAGGUCAGCAUGUUGUAAUGUGGUGCAUGGCACAAUCUUCCAGUGGCCCAGGGGGACACAGGAGCAGUCUCCAAACAACCUCCUCUCUCCCUAUUUCAUAAAACCCUCUGAGCAAUGCACCAGCCUUUCAUCCUCUGAGAUUCUGCUUUUCCUGUUUGAUCUUGCACAAUAUAGCCAUGCUUUUCAGAUAUGUGUGCUCUUUC